AGUGGAUGGGGAGCAACCUAGUUGUGCGUGUGUAAAGGUAGUGCCAAGAAAAGCGAUGAUCAUGUUGAAAAUCAAUUCCCGGUACCCGAAACCGACACAGGUGGGCAAGUAGAGAAUACUAAGGGGCGCGAGGUAACUCUCUCCAAGGAACUCGGCAAAAUGACCCCGUAACUUAGGGAGAAGGGGUGCCACCGAGAGGUGGUCGCAGUGAAGAGGCCCAGGCGACUGUUUAGCAAAAACAUAGGUCUCUGCAAACUCGAAAGAGGAGGUAUAGGGGCUGACGCCUGCCCAGUGCCGGAAGGUUAAGGAAGUUGGUCAGUUUUAGGAUGAAGCUAGCGACUGAAGCCCCGGUGAACGGCGGCCGUAACUAUAACGGUCCUAAGGUAGCGAAAUUCCUUGUCGGGUAAGUUCCGACCCGCACGAAAGGCGUAACGAUCUGGGCGCUGUCUCGGAGAGAGGCUCGGCGAAAUAGGAUUGUCUGUGAAGAUACGGACUACCUGCAUUUGGACAGAAAGACCCUAUGAAGCUUUACUAUAGCUUGGAAUUGUGUUCGGGCUUCCUGUGCGCAGGAUAGGUGGGAGGCGUAGAAGGUAUUCUUGUGGGGAUACUGGAGCCAACGGUGAGAUACCACUCUCAGGAGGCUAGAAUUCUAACUUAAUUAAGGACAGUUUCAGGUGGGUAGUUUGACUGGGGCGGUCGCCUCCAAAAAGGUAACGGAGGCGUACAAAGGUUCCCUCAGACUGGUUGGAAAUCAGUCGAAGAGUGCAAAGGCAGAAGGGAGCUUGACUGCGAGAAGUACAGUUCGAGCAGGGUGGAAACACGGUCUUAGUGAUCCGACGGUGCUGUGUGGAAGGGCCGUCGCUCAACGGAUAAAAGUUACUCUAGGAUAACAGGCUGAUCUCCCCCAAGAGUUCACAUCGACGGGGAGGUUUGGCACCUCGAUGUCGGCUCAUCGCAACCUGGGGCGGAAGUACGUCCCAAGGGUUGGGCUGUUCGCCCAUUAAAGCGGUACGUGAGCUGGGUUCAGAACGUCGUGAGACAGUUCGGUCCAUAUCCGAUGUAGGCGUGAGAAUAUUGAGAGGAGCCUUCCUUAGUACGAGAGGACCGGGAAGGACGCACCGCUGGUGUACCUGUUAUGAUGCCAAUUGUAAACGCAGGGUAGCCAAGUGCGGAGAGGAUAACCGCUGAAAGCAUCUAAGUGGGAAGCCCACCUCAAGAUGAGUAUUCUGGUGUAAGGUCACGGGAAGACGACCCGUAAAUAGGCACGAGGUGGAAGUGCAGAGAUGUAUGAAGCCGAAGUGUACUAAUAGACCGUCGGCUUGAC
RNAcentral lists this ribosomal RNA (1324 nucleotides) under metagenome. RNAcentral describes it as "bacterial LSU rRNA". It matches the Rfam family "Bacterial large subunit ribosomal RNA", at positions 1561 to 2925 of the family's 2925-position model. The record is from RNAcentral.